UACGUAGGGUGCGAGCGUUGUCCGGAAUUAUUGGGCGUAAAGAGCUCGUAGGCGGCUUGUCGCGUCGGAUGUGAAAGCCCGGGGCUUAACUCCGGGUCUGCAUUCGAUACGGGCAGACUGGAGGUAUGCAGGGGAGAACGGAAUUCCUGGUGUAGCGGUGAAAUGCGCAGAUAUCAGGAGGAACACCGGUGGCGAAGGCGGUUCUCUGGGCAUGUCCUGACGCUGAGGAGCGAAAGUGUGGGGAGCGAACAGG
RNAcentral lists this ribosomal RNA (253 nucleotides) under uncultured bacterium. RNAcentral's name for it is "partial 16S ribosomal RNA". It matches the Rfam family "Bacterial small subunit ribosomal RNA", at positions 524 to 776 of the family's 1533-position model. The record is from RNAcentral.